RNAcentral lists this ribosomal RNA (239 nucleotides) under uncultured bacterium. Its description in RNAcentral is "partial 16S ribosomal RNA". It matches the Rfam family "Bacterial small subunit ribosomal RNA", at positions 92 to 334 of the family's 1533-position model. The record is from RNAcentral.
CGAGUGGCGGACGGGGGAGUAAUGUCUGGGAAACUGCCCGAUGGAGGGGGAUAACUACUGGAAACGGUAGCUAAUACCGCAUAACGUCGCAAGACCAAAGAGGGGGACCUUCGGGCCUCUUGCCAUCGGAUGAACCCAUAUGGGAUUAGCUAGUAGGUGGGGUAACGGCUCACCUAGGCGACGAUCCCUAGCUGGUCUGAGAGGAUGACCAGCCACACUGGGACUGAGACACGGCCCAG